RNAcentral lists this ribosomal RNA (686 nucleotides) under Malassezia restricta. RNAcentral's name for it is "eukaryotic LSU rRNA". The stretch from base 204 to 357 matches the Rfam family "5.8S ribosomal RNA". The record is from RNAcentral. Lineage: Eukaryota; Fungi; Basidiomycota; Malasseziomycetes; Malasseziales; Malasseziaceae.
UUGGGCAGGCCAUACGGACGCCAAAAAAGUGUCCCUGGCCGCCUACACCCACUAUACAUCCACAAACCCGUGUGCACUGUCUUGGAGAAAGGCUUCUUGAGAAGUUUUGUGGCCUCUCUUGGGGUCUUUCUUCGCUACAAACUCGAAUGGUUAGUAUGAACGUGGAACUUGGUUGGACCGUCACUGGCCAACAAACUAUACACAACUUUCGACAACGGAUCUCUUGGUUCUCCCAUCGAUGAAGAACGCAGCGAAACGCGAUAGGUAAUGUGAAUUGCAGAAUUCCGUGAAUCAUCGAAUCUUUGAACGCACCUUGCGCUCUAUGGCAAUCCGUAGAGCAUGCCUGUUUGAGUGCCAUGAAAUCUCCCACCCCAAGCGGUUUUUGAAUGUGAAACGGCUUGGCGGAUGGGGUCUGGAUGGGUGCCUCUGCCUGUGCUAAACCUUAGCCCACAGGCUCGCCCGAAAUGCAUGAGCGCCUUGGGACACUUUGCAUCCGCCUCUCUUGUGGGAGGAGGCGGCCAAGCAGUGUUUUUCUCCAGGCAUGGCAUGAUACGUCAUUUGCUAUGUCGCCCAAUGGAGGAAUGUUUGGUUGUGUCUGCGUGUGCUUCGAACUUGCCUCUGUGCAAAAUCCCCUUUCACUUCUGGUCUCAAAUCAGGUAGGAUCACCCGCUGAACUUAAGCAUAUC